UGGGUUGUGGCUCAGUGGUAGAGCACUUGCCUAGCAUGUAUGAGGCACUGGGUUCAAUCCUCAGUACCACAU
Molecule: transfer RNA, 72 nt
Filed under: Marmota monax (woodchuck)
Lineage: Eukaryota; Metazoa; Chordata; Mammalia; Rodentia; Sciuridae
Rfam family: tRNA
About the family: Transfer RNA (tRNA) molecules are approximately 80 nucleotides in length. Their secondary structure includes four short double-helical elements and three loops (D, anti-codon, and T loops).
Source: Rfam by way of RNAcentral